AGGAUCAAACCCAGGGCCUCACACAUGCCAGGUCAUUUCUAUAGUUCAUUACUAGAAGUUUCUCUGAAUGAAGAGAGCACUGGACACCAUGAGGCAGAGGUGCAGCUUUCUCUCUGGGUGCAAAGCAGCUAUUUGUCAUUGAUAGUCAUUCUUUUCCUUCAGGAGAGUGAGAGGCACAAUGCCAUCAGAGUGGA
Non-coding RNA from Ictidomys tridecemlineatus (thirteen-lined ground squirrel), 194 nucleotides. The record is from Rfam. NCBI's taxonomy places the organism in Eukaryota, Metazoa, Chordata, Mammalia, Rodentia, Sciuridae.